GUGUCAGCAGCCGCGGUAAUACGUAGGUGGCGAGCGUUGUCCGGAAUUACUGGGCGUAAAGGGUGCGUAGGCGGACCUUUAAGUCAGAUGUGAAAUCCCCGAGCUCAACUUGGGAAUUGCAUUUGAAACUGGAGGUCUAGAGUGCAGGAGAGGAAAGCGGAAUUCCUAGUGUAGCGGUGAAAUGCGUAGAUAUUAGGAAGAACACCAGUGGCGAAGGCGGCUUUCUGGACUGUAACUGACGCUGAGGCACGAAAGCGUGGGGAGCAAACAGGAUUAGAUACCCUGGUAGUCCACGCUGUAAACGAUGAGUGCUAGGUGUGGGGGGUUUCGACACCCUCUGUGCCGCAGUAAACGCAAUAAGCACUCCGCCUGGGGAGUACGGUCGCAAGACUAAA
This 395-nucleotide ribosomal RNA is filed under the name uncultured bacterium. Its description in RNAcentral is "bacterial SSU rRNA". It matches the Rfam family "Bacterial small subunit ribosomal RNA", at positions 505 to 898 of the family's 1533-position model. The record is from RNAcentral.